Long non-coding RNA from Mytilus californianus (California mussel), 2728 nucleotides. RefSeq lists it as uncharacterized. The record is from RefSeq and is a predicted model, not a curated record. Lineage: Eukaryota; Metazoa; Mollusca; Bivalvia; Mytilida; Mytilidae. The transcript is spliced from 3 exons.
AAAAUAUAGAGCUUUUAAAAUUUAUUUUAAAAUUUUUUUUCAAAUUAUAAUUCGAAGGUAGAACACACGAAACCAACUGUGUUUUAAAGAAAAUCAUAAAUAACAAGGCAGGUGAACAGACAAACAAUAAGGGAGACAAGAAACAACAAGGCAGGUGUACAGACAAGCAAUAAGGGAGACAAGAAACAACAAGGCAGGUGUACAGACAAACAAUAAGGGAGACAAGAAACAACAAGGCAGAUGUACAGACAAACAAUAAGGGAGAUAAGAAAUAACAAGGCAGAUGUACAGACAAACAAUAAGGGAGAUAAGAAAUAACAAGGCAGGUGUACAGACAAACAAUUAGGGAGAUAAGAAACAACAAGACAGAUGUACAGACAAACAAUAAGGGAGAUACGAAAUAACAAGGCAGUUGUACAGACAAUCAAGAAGGGAGUUGUGAAAUUACAAGGUACGUGUACGAAUAAAUAAUAAGAGAGAUAAGUUACAACAAGGCAGGUGUACAGACAAUCAAGACGGGAGAUAAGAAACAAAUACGACAGGUAUACAGACAACCAAGAAGGGAGUUGUGAAAUUACAAGGUACGUGUACGAAUAAACAAUAAGUGAGAUAAGUUACAACAAGGCAGGUGUACAGACAAUCAAGAAGGGAGAUAAGAAACAACGAGACAUGUAUACAGACAAUUAAGAAGGGAGUUAUGAAAUUACAAGGUAUGUGUACGAAUAAAUAAUAAGAGAGAUAAGUUACAACAAGGCAGGUGUACAGACAAUCAAGAAGGGAGAUAAGAAAUAACAAGACAGGUAUAGACAACCAAGAAGGGAGUAAUGAAAUUACAAAUAAGAAAAAAAAAACAAGGCAGGUGUACAGACGACCAAGAAGGGAGACAAGAAACAACAAGGCAGGUGCACAAACAAUCAAGUCGGGAGGUAGUUAAGAAAAUAAAAAUAUUGUGUACGAACAAACAAUAAGAAAGAUAAGUUAAAACAAGACAGGUAUACAGUCAAACAAGACGGGAAAAUAAGAAACAACAAGGCAGUUGUAAAAACAACGAAGUAGGGAGUUAUGAAAUUACAAGGUAUGUGUAUAUACAAAUAAUAAGAGAGAUAAGAGACAAGACAGGUGCACAAACAAGCAAUAAAGGUAAUAAGAAACAACAAGACAGGUGUACAGACAUUCAAUAAGGGAGAUAAGAAAUUACAAGGCAGGUGUACAGACAAACAAUAAAGGAUACAAUAAAUUACAAGGCAGGUGUACAGACAAACAAUAAAGGAUAAAGAACAACAAGACGAGUGUUCAGACAAACAAGAAAGAGGAUAAGAAACAACAAGGCGAGUUUUCAGACAAACCAUUAUUAAAAGAAGAUAAGAAACAACAAGGCAGGUGUACAGACAAACAAUAAGGGAAAUAAGAAACAACAAGGCAGAUGUACAGGCAAACAAUAAGGGAGAUAAGAAACAACAAGGCAGAUGUACAGACAAACAAUAAGGGAGACAAGAAACAACAAGGCAGGUGUACAGACAAACAAUAAGGGAGAUAAGAAACAACAAGGCAGGUGUACAGACAAACAAUAAGGGAGAUACGAAACAACAAGGCAGGUGUACAGACAAACAAUAAGGGAGAUAAGAAACAACAAGGCAGGUGUACAGACAAACAAUAAGGGCGAUACGAAACAACAAGGCAGAUGUACAGACAAAUAAUAAGGGAGAUAAGAAACAACAAGGCAGGUGUACAGACAAACAAUAAGGGAGACAAGAAACAACAAGGCAGGUGUACAGACAAACAAUAAGGGAGAUAAGAAACAACAAGGCAGAUGUACAGACAAACAAUAAGGGAGAUAAGAAACAACAAGGCAGGUGUACAGACAAACAAUAAGGGAGAUAAGAAACAACAAGGCAGGUAUACAGACAAACAAUAAGGGAGAUAAGAAACAACAAGGCAUGUGUACAGACAAACAAUAAGGGAGACAAGAAACAACAAGGCAGAUGUACAGACAAACAAUAAGGGAGAUAGGAAAUAACAAGGCAGGUGUACAGACAAACAAUAAGGGAGAUAAGAAACAACAAGGCAGGUGUACAGACAAACAAUAAGGGAGAUAAGAAACAACAAGGCAGAUGUACAGACAAACAAUAAGGGAGAUAAGAAACAACAAGGCAGGUGUUCAGACAAUGAAAAAAGUGGAUAAGAAACAACAAGGCGAAUUGUCAGACAAAUGAUUAAGAAAAUAAGAAACAACAAGGCGGGUUUUCAGGCAAACAAUAAAGGAGAUCAGAAACAACAAGGCGGGUUUUCAGACAAACAAUAAAGGAGAACAGAAACAACAAGGCAGGUGUAAGGACAUACAAGUAGGGGAAUAAACAAACAACUAGGCAAAUAUACGGACAAACAAUAAGGGAGAUAAGAAAUAAAAAGGUAUGUGUACUUACAAACCAGAAGGGGAAUACGAAACACUAUGCAAGGGUUCGACCAAGAAGAAGGGAGAUAAGAUACAACAAGUUUACGGACAAACAAGAAGCUUGGUAAAUGUACGGACAAACAAGGACUGGAGAUAAGAGACAACAGAAAGAGCAAAGGACAAACAACGAAGGAGAAAGAAAAAAACAAAAGCAGUUGUACAGACAAAAAUAAAGAGAGAUAAGAAACCACUUGCCAUAUUUACGUACAAACAAGAAGGAAAAGAAACAACAAGGUAUGGGUACGGACACACAUAAAGGGAGAAAAGAAACAAACA